RNAcentral lists this ribosomal RNA (392 nucleotides) under uncultured bacterium. Its description in RNAcentral is "bacterial SSU rRNA". It matches the Rfam family "Bacterial small subunit ribosomal RNA", at positions 28 to 424 of the family's 1533-position model. The record is from RNAcentral.
GACGAACGCUGGCGGCGUGCUUAACACAUGCAAGUCGAGCGGUAAGGCCCUUUCGGGGGUACACGAGCGGCGAACGGGUGAGUAACACGUGGGUGACCUGCCCUCAGCUCUGGGAUAAGCCCGGGAAACUGGGUCUAAUACUGGAUAUGACUCCAUGACGCAUGUUGUGGGGUGGAAAGCCUUGUGCGGCUGAGGAUGGGCCCGCGGCCUAUCAGCUUGUUGGUGGGGNGAUGGCCUACCAAGGCGACGACGGGUAGCCGGCCUGAGAGGGCGACCGGCCACACUGGGACUGAGACACGGCCCAGACUCCUACGGGAGGCAGCAGUGGGGAAUCUUGCGCAAUGGGCGAAAGCCUGACGCAGCGACGCCGCGUGAGGGAUGACGGCCUGGUU